Molecule: long non-coding RNA, 27479 nt
Filed under: Medicago truncatula (barrel medic)
Lineage: Eukaryota; Viridiplantae; Streptophyta; Magnoliopsida; Fabales; Fabaceae
Description: long non-coding RNA (MTRU_LNC002634)
Source: RNAcentral
AAACAGGAAUACAUCAUUUCAUAAGUGGAAAAAAGCGUCAUUGCAGGUUGGGUUUAAAGCUAGCUGUUGUUGUUAUGGUAGCUCCCGUACUUUCUUCCCCUCCUCCGCCGCCUUCACCACCCACGCCUCGGUCAUCAACUCCAAUUCCUCAUCCUCCGAGACGUUCACUGCCUUCACCUCCUUCACCGUCACCAUCACCUUCACCAUCACCAUCACCAUCACCAUCACCUCGGUCAACUCCAAUUCCUCAUCCUCGGAAACGUUCACCAGCUUCACCAUCACCAUCACCAUCACUGUCAAAGUCGCCUUCACCCUCCGAGUCACCAUCACUGGCACCGUCACCUUCAGAUUCAGUAGCUUCAUUGGCACCGUCAUCUUCACCUUCAGACGAGUCACCUUCACCGGCACCGUCCCCAAGUUCAUCUGGUAGUAAAGGUGGUGGUGCUGGCCAUGGAUUCUUGGAAGUUUCAAUCGCUAUGAUGAUGUUCUUAAUUUUCUAGAUUAUGUUUACGUAUUUGCAUUGAUGUCUUUUGAAUUAAGCUUUGUGACUACAUGCAUAAAUAUUAUGCAAUAUUGUGUGUGGGGUCAAAGUCAAGCACAUUUUCAUUUUGCUUUCAUGUUUCCUUAAUUUUCAUUUUCAUGUAGUAGUUUCUUGUGUGGUUGAUUAGAAUGAUUAAUUUCGCCCUUGAACUACAACGGUUGGUCUUACUUUUCCUUAAUUUUCAUUUUCGUGGGGUUUGUGAGUUAUUCAUUUCUGAAUCAAUGUUUAAGUGUUAGUAUUACUAGUUGUUCCUUGAAAUCCAAACACAUAUGAAAGUCUCAGACAAAUUUCUAAAUUAAGACUUUUCAAAGUUAAAAAACAAAAUAAAAAAUUAGAAAAAAUAUUGGGAACUUUUACCGUACACUCAGAAAUUGUAGUGUACCAGUAUUCUUGUUUCACAAAACUUAUAAAUUAAUGAUCAUUUUUAUAAAAUAAAAAUUUAUUUGUCAAUAUUUAUAUUUUAGAAAACGUCAUAUCAUAAGAAAAAAACAUCAUUUCAUUGUUUAUAAGGAUUAUAUUAAAAAUUCUACAUUUUGUCAUAAAAAAUAAUCAAUAUUCAUUGUUAUGAGUAGUAAUAAUUAAAUUUUAUUUCGUCGAAGCUUUUGGUAAAUAAAAUUUAAUUAUUAUAGUUGUCAAUGAUAGAAAAUAAUUAUUUUUCUUCAAAAAAAACAACCAAUUUAUUAUUAAUUUAACAAAUUGGUGUACCGAUACACCCAAAUUUAUUGGGUGUACCAUAGAAUUUGCCAAUAUUUAUAUUUUAUAGAACAACAUUUCAUAAGAAAAAACAUCAUUUAAUUGUUUAUAAGAAUCAUAGUAACUUUUUUUUACAUAUUAUCGUAAAAAAUAAUGAAUGUUCUCAAUUAUGAGUGAUAAAAAUUUAAAAAAAUAAAAAAUUAUUUCGCUGACACUUUUGACGAAUAAGAUUUAGUUAUUAUAAUUAUAAAUAAUAAAAAAUAAUAUUUUUCUUCAAAAAACAACUCAUUUAACUAUGAAUUUAAAGAAUGAGUGUACCGGUACACUCAAAUAUAGUGGAUGUACCGUAGAAUUUGCCAUAUUUAUAACCUACCCCUUCCUUCAAAAAACGAAAAAAAAUAAAACCUACCCCUAUUAUAAUGAUCAUAUUCUUACAAUAUCAAAAACAAGUACAAGUACAUAUGUCCAUAUAUCGUGAUCGAGAUUUCAACUCUGACUCAUCUAUUUGUCAUUCAAGUUUUUAAUGACUUAUCAUUUUGUUUAGUAAGUUUGCAUUGAAACAUGUAUAUUUUGUAUUAAAUAUACAAUUUUUUAACAAAUGAUUGUUGUUCUUCAAUAAAUACUUGCUAUUUUUAUAGUUGUUUUUACAAGUUUAAUAUUACACAUGUUAACAAAUCCUUUAAAAAAAUAGAAAAAUAGAAGUACUUUUGGAAUAAUAACAUUAAAUAUGCAUGAAUUAUAAGUUUAAUAAAUAUUUUCUCUGUCUUAUAAUAAUUGUCUUUUUAACACUUUUUCUUUUUCUUAAAAUAAUUAUCGCUUUAUAAUAUCGAUGCAACAUUUAUUAUUAUUUUUCAUUAUUAUAUUCUUAUUAAUUGAAUUUCAUCAAACUUAACUACUCCACUAACUACAAUUGAUAAUGAUAUUUUAAUAAAUGAUAUUAAUUUUACCAUUGAAAUCAACACAGUUAAUCAUUUUCUUAAUAACCGUAAACAAAUCUUAAACGACUAUUUUUUAAGAGACGAUGCAUUAUAAGCAUUAAUAGGAAAAGAACUAGAAAGUACUAUAUUCCGUAUCGAAAAUGCUCCAACUAGCUAGCUAGCAUGCAUAUUCAACAAAAUUUAAAGGUCAACGACAAGAUGCACGUGUCAAAUGUGAAAGACUCCAAUUAUAGACACUCCAUUUGUAGAGAACCUCAUUGUUUUUCGCCUAUCAUUUCUUGUAACCACUCCCAUUUUCUUUGAUCUUUCUUCUAUCAAUACUUCCACAAACACUAGCAAGAACAACAGAAAUUUAAAAUAUUUGUACUUUCAAAAAGGAAAAUCAAGUGAAGAUGGCAGGAAAUGAAAAUCAAGCAAUGAAAGAAACACCACCUCGACCACAUUCAACAGAUGUACUUCACCAACGCAAAAAAGUACCAUUUUGUCCAAUGAGAAUGGCUAUAGGUGGUUUUGCAGCAAUAUCUGUGUUAGGUUACUUUGUUUUGUACGCUAAUAAGAAGCCUGAAGCAUCAGCCUUGGAUGUUGCCAAGGUUUCCACUGGGAUGGCUCAUCCAGAAAAUACCCAUCCCCGUAAUUAAUAUCACCAAUCAAUCCAUGAAGCAUAUACUAUGGUUUUGUCUAGCUAUCUUAAUUAGAGUGUAUUUAUUUUUUGAUUUGUACGUGUUUAAUUAAUUAAGUUCAUUCUGGGAGUACAUCAUUGUAUAUUUAAUUAUCAUCGACCGUAAUAAUCAUUUUACUCUUAUUGUUGUUUCGAAGAUGAAACUUAUUAGAUGAAAAGGUUCCAUGCAACAUUGCACGUACAUUUAUGAGUAAAAGUGUGUCCCAACAUCUGACAAGUAAUGUGUCUAAUGCAUGUUCAAUGUUUCAUAGGUUACAUGCAUGUCACCGCAUGACAUGUUUAUUAUGUUUUGUAAAAUUCAUUUUACCUAUCACUUUUAGUAUUUUCAAUGUAAGAACUGCUGUUUUUUUUUUUAAUGCAUUCAUUCACGACCAAUCCCAAUGUUUUUUGUGCCUUAUUUGUGAUUUGAAUGAAUAAACUCUAAUACAAUAUUAGAUUUUUAUAUUUGGUCUAAAUCAUUUUUUAAAAUCUUGUCAAUGUGAAAUUCAAGUUUUUCCUAUGAGAAAAAGAUCACGAAUCAUCAUCUAGCUUUCAGCCCCAGCAGUACCAGAUCCUAGUUUAUCUUAUUACAAAACAUUUAUCAUUUAAUUUCCAUAAGUUUUCUUUCUUUCCUUUCUUUAAAAACUACACCCUCCGAUCAUAAAUAUAAGCAAAAAUUUAUAUUUUAGAUUCAUUCAAUAAAUGAUGUAUGUUGUCUACAAUAAAGACCACAUAAAUUUUUGCUUAUAUUUAUGACUGGAGGGUAUACUGCGUAAGUAUAGAGCGAUAAUGUGAUUAAUUAAAUUGAGGGAAGCUUAUUAAAUAGCAACUAACAUCUGUUAUUUCAGAAGAAAACACCAACCAUGCAACAUUCAAGAGCUAACAUACAUAAUUUUCUAAGCGUAUCCUUCGAACAAUAUCACGUUUAGCAAAACCACAACGUGGAAGCUCGGGUUUUUUAGCUUUCACAUUUAUUCAUAGGGACACAUAAUCAGCGGCGAAGCUAGCAAUAAUUUUAUGAGGUGGCCACCCGAAAGUAAUCAAAGUCAUAAAAAAAUGACUACAUCUAAAAUCGAACCUGGGGUAGCCAAAUAUAUAUUAUUAGGGGUAGCUAAACAUAAAAAUAUACCUACAAAUUCAAUAAAAUUUUUUUUUCGGGUAGCCAUAGCUACCCCUCUCUUUAACAAGCAUUCGCCCCUGCACAUAAUGACACUUCCAAUCAAUGCCAAACCAAACAGAUACUUGGUGAAAGUUUUGUUAAAAGUACAACAUUUAUAUUUUGAAUACAAUAAUUAAAGGCUUAAUUGCACUUUUUCCUCCAAUCUUUUGCCAAUUGUGUGAUUUUGCACCCUCUCUUUUUUUUGAGCGAUUUUGCACCCUAUCUUUUGCAAAUUGUGUUUUUGUUCAAAAUCAUCAUCAUUAAAAUAGGGGAAAAGGGGCAAAAGAUAAGGUGCAAAAUCGCUUAAAAAAGAAGAAGAAGGGGAGCAAAAUCGCACAAUUGGCAAAAUGAUGGGGCAAAAGUGCAAUUAAACAUAAGAAGGUCCAUCUAACUAGAAAGGGGGCAAAAUUUGGAGUGCAAAAUCGCUCAAAAAAAAAGAGGGUGCAAAAUCGCACAAUUAGCAAAAAAUAGGGGGAAAAAAAUGCAAUUAAACGAUAAUUAAAUUUUACUAUUUUUUUUGUUUACAAUAACAGGCCAUAAAAAUUAUUUAUUCUCUUUGAUUUACACAUUAGUCAUCUUUAGUUCAAAAUAUACAAAUUGAUUUAAACAAAAAAAAUAGGGAUGUAAUAUUUUUAUCAAUAGGAAUCGAAUUCGGUACUUUGUAGUUUACAAGACUCACACAUUACUUACUUGCACUACACUAGCCAGUAGACUCCAUUGGUAUAUAUAUGGAUGUAAUUUUUGCUAAUUGAUUCCAAUUUGCAAGUCUUGUUUCUUAAAAAUACCUCCCCAAGACUAAGUAUCUUUGUGGUGGCACUCAUAGACAAAAAUCUUUGUGUAGCAAUUAAUCAUAUAUAUAUAUAUAUAUUGGAAUGAUGAGAUUGAUCCCAUUGAGUACACCAAAUUCUAUUAUAAGCCUUUCAUAGAAAAACAAUAAUACAUGUAAAUAUUUUUAAAUUUUCAAUAUUGAUCGAUAUUAUGCACUUUUGUCUACUCUCUUUUUUAUUUUUUAUUUUAUUUUAUGGAAGACAUCUAAGGGGUGUAUUCAAUUGAGAUUUCAAAGGAUUUUAAAAGACUUUUUUGUUUUAAAAAAGUCUUUAGGUAUUCAAUCAAGACUUUUAAGGAAUCUAAAAUAUUCUUGUGAUAUUCAAUUAGGAUUUUCAUAAUUUUUUAAUGAGUCCAAUAAAAUCCAGUGGUAUUCAAUUGAGAUUUUGCACAACUUAAAAAUUGUCUAUUGGUAUUCAAAAUUGUAAGGAUUUUAAUGGAUUGUUAUGAAUGGAUUUUGUGAGACUUUUUAGUGUAAAAUGUACCUACUAACAAUCUCACACCUAACCUUGAGGCUUUUUUUGUCUCCCACACAUAGCUUUGAGAUUUCUUGAGACUUUUUACUCAUUCUCCCACUUCAUUUUUUGUUUCUCUCAGUAUCAUUAUUUCAUGUUUGUUUUCUUUUUCCAGAUUUUAAUUUUUUUUUUAUUCUCGUCAUUUUUAUUUUCUUCACGAAUUGGUUGUUGUUGAUCACAUUAUUUACUUCAUGUUUUCUUUUUCGUGCUCUUACAUGUUUAUUUUAUUAUUAUCAAUAAGUUUUUUUUUCGAGUAAGUUUGAUUUUAUUAAGUAAUUAUUAUUAUAAUAUAUUAUUAUUAGUAGUCAAUUCCAUAAAAAUUGUAUCGAUUUUAUUUUUUAUCAUGUAAACCUUUGAUUUUAUUUUUUUUUGGUCUAGCAAACCUUUGAUUUUUUAUUUAGUCAACUCUUGUAAUUUUGAAUUAUUGCUAAAAUUUGACUGUCAUUUCAAAUCUUAUGAAUUCUCAUAAAAUACUUUCAAAUCUUUAAAAGUCUAUGAGCUAAAAUCCCUCAAAAUCUUAAAAGUCUUUUAAAAUCCUCUAAAAGUUAAUACAUUCCUCCACAAUCUUUUAAAAUCUUCCAGACUUUUUUUGUCAAAAUAGUCUUUUAAAAUCUCAAUCCAAUACACCCCCCUAAAUUGAGGGGAAGAUAUUUUAAUCCAAGGUAAGAAACAUCUGAAGACUCAAAUAUCAUCUAGGAAAGAAUUUACAUUUAUCUUCUUUAAGAGAUAAUAAGAAGGCUCAAAUACGACCCUUCAAGUCUAAGUUUGUCUUUUUAUUAUUUAGAUUAAAUCUGUAUCUAGUAUUUUUUUUUUUUCUUCCUUUUUUGGACGAGCUGCUCUAAUCCUCACUCUGAUCUUAAAUAUAAAAAAAGUAAAUCAAAUAUAUUUUAAUUUUUGCUUAUAUUUAAUAUAGGAGAAUAACAAUUCCUAAAAUUGUUAAGGGUCGAUGAGAAGACAUUGCCUACCCAAUAUAUAUUGAGUAUGAAAACAAUUGAACGAGCUCUAUUUAAGUAGGCCUGGUAAAUAAUUGCACUAGAGUUUUUGUUAUACAGUUUCUCAAUCUUUCGUAUCUAAAUCUGUCAAAAUACCUACGUGAGCACUUUUUUGAAGACGGAUUGAAAAAUUAUGUAUCUAUCUAUCUUUCAAUCUCUUGUGAUCAAUGUGGGCUGUCUAACUUAAAUGUCCGCAGCCUAAUUGCAUUCACUAAUCACAAAUUCCAUACAUGGAAACAUGACCCAAUAUUUUCGGUUAAUCUAAUUUACAAGUGAUAUUUUGAGUUUAUAUUUUCUCUCCUUUUUUUAUGCCGGAUAAAUAACUAAAUUGGUCUUAUACCAAAUUUUUAAAUUGAUCUAUGAAUCUAUUAAUAACUCAAAAUAGUCUUUAUCUUUGUCAAUUGUUUUUUAGAUUGGUCUCCGACUCUAUUAGUUCUUUUGUAUUUUAAAUCAUUAACGUAUCAGAUAAGAUCCAAAAGAUAUUAUAUCAUUAACGACUAAAUAAUAUCCAAAAGACGUUGAACUAAUACUCAAAAUACAAAACAGCUAAUAGAGUCAGGGACCAAUUUAAAAAACGUUUGACUAAGAUAUAGACCAUUUUGAAUUAUUAAUAGAUUCGUGGACCAAUUUAAGAAUUUGGUACAAAAAUACCGACUAAUUUAAGGUUUUACUCGAUAAAUCAUCGCUAUACGUAUGCGCAUUAUAGGAAGAAAAAGUGACAUGAGAGGCACUCACAUUUGGAGAUGCUAUUCACGAAUAGACAAUGAAACUCACAAAGUCAACAAUAUGCACGUUAUCGAAUUAUACUAUUAUACAAUUUUUUAUGUGGAUUUACAUUUAUUUAUAUGAUUAGGUAACAAAAAUCAUGUUAACUUGUACUUUAGGAACACAUGAUAUAUAAAUUUAAAAUAAUAUUAAGGAGUGUAUGAGUCAAUGGUUAAGAAAGUUAAAAGAGAAAAUUUUAAGUAAAAACAAAUACUCCUUCUGUUUUAAAAUGAGUGUCAUUUUAGGUAAAAAAUUAUUUUAAAAUGAAUAUCACUUUACAUUUUUAAUAUAACUUUAAUUUUUAUCUUCCAACUUUAUCCUCUCCAACUUUUCUCUCACACAAUGUUCAAUGCAACUUUAAUUUUGUCAUUUUCUUAUAAAGUAAGAGCAGUUUAGUAAAAACGUUAUAUCCAAUUAUUAUUUCAUUUCAUUUCUUAAUAUGUGUGUCAAAGACUAAAGCGAUACUCAUUUUGAAACAGAUGAAGUAAUUUUUAAGCAUUGAUUACACAACUUUGAAUGUAAACAUUACCCUUUUUAGGUCAUAAUUUAAACAUUUAAUACAAAUAUUACUAUAUUUGACUUCUUAGCCAGUGCUCCGAAAACACCGGUUAGCAUUACCCACAAAUUUAAAAGAAGAAUCAUUAUCUUAAAUUGUAUACAUUCAAUUAAAUUUAACAUACAUAUUCCAAUAAAAUAUUAUUAUAUUAUAAAUACAUUUAACUUGUGUUUUAAAGAUACAAGUUUGCAUUUAAUUUUUUUUGACUUUUUUCAAUUUAUCUAUCUCUAUUCAUGACUCACUCCGUUUUAAAAUAUCUUUUAUAAAAAUAAACGCGUAUAAAAAAUUAAUAAGAUCAAAAUUAAUUUUUCAAUUAUAAAUAUCAUUUAUAAAAAAUGUUAACGAGUGUCUCUAAAAUAUUUUUUUAAACAUCUUCAUUAAUUUUAAAAUUUAAGGUCAUUAUCGAGAGGCACUCCUUAAAAACAAAAGAGACAAGAUAGAAAAAAGUUGACAAAUUGUAACAAAAAAAAAAAGUUUUUUUUUGACAAGUAAAAAAAAAAAGAAGAAAUUUUUUUUAUUUUUUUUUGAAGAAAGAAGAAAAAAAGUUGACAACCUUUAUGGGGUUAAUGCGCAUAUUUUAAUAUUUAUGAGAGUAACUCUUUUUUGUUGAAUAGAUUUUGUUGUCUUCAAUAAUAAAAUUAUUGCUACUUUUUUAUUUUUAGGAAAUAAAAAGAAAAGUAUAUUAGUAUUGAUUUUAAUUAGUUUUUUGAGAUUAGGAUCCCUCUGCGUUGCUUCCUCCUUUUGUUGGGUGCAUAGCAUAGUUUGUGUUGCAGCCUGCAACUUUUCUCUCUCUUUUUCUUCGAAGUCACCGCAACUUCAACUUCAACAGUUUCUCCAUGAGGUCCGUUCCUUUCUUCUCUCUCCAAUUUAAUUGCUUUAAUUUUUAUGGAAUUUCAGAGUCAACCUGUUUCACUCUUCGCCGCCGUCCACCGUCGCUAUUCAUUCUCCUCCCUCCGGUUACACUUUUUUUUUUUUUUUUGUUAUACUGCAAAAACUUGACUUCACUUAUCUGCAUCUCUUCAACUACAACUACAAUAGAUCCUUUUUUUUUUUUUUUUUUUUUUUUUAAAUAAUUAUGAAGGAAUAAGAAAUUUUGAUCUAUUAAUUUAAAUCAUUUUAUGAUUUUUUCUAUAAAAAUUGCUUCAUAAAUUUAUCACUUCAGUUUUCAUAUUGCACCACCAAACCCAGCAUAUUUUCGCUUUUAGCAAUAUUUUUAUUUUUGGUGAUUUUUUGGAUCAUAAGCCUUUAACUGUGUUAGUGAAUAGUAACAGCAAUAUGGUUUAGAUGAUUAAUAUUGGAAAAUAUUUCAUGGACACUUGAGAGAGAAACAAAUAGAGAGUGUGUUGUGAUAUAUCGAUGAUGUGAUGAGAAGAUAAAGAAAUGAGGUGUUGAAUGUGUGUUUGGAAAUUACGGGUGUACAAAUAUCAUUGCUUGAAGAUUACAAUUCUAAGAGUUUCUAGUUUUGGGCCAUGUCAUUCUUGAAAUUUUUCUUUUUCUUGAUUUUAAUUGGAAGUUAUUUCAGCCUCUCUACCAUGAUGCCUUUAGUAAACAUUCGGAACCUGACCAUGAAAAAUGCAAUACUAUAAAUAUUAUUGGUCAUUAUUUUGAAUAUUGUUUUGUUCGUCUGCAGGUUGUGCAUCUGCGACCUACUGUUGAAAGAUGUUUGACCGAAGUGAUUACAAAUCACAGUACAUGGAUGGCCAGCGAGAAAGUUCUUUUAGGUAUCCAGUAUAUUUUCGUUGCAAAGUCUUGGUAGAAAUAUGAAUGAGAAGAGAGUAGUGCAAAUUAAUUUUUAGAUGCUUUACACAAAUCUUGUAUAUGUUACUAUAUGCACAUGAUAUUUGGACAUUUUCUUAUUUAUUCAUAUCUUCUCUGUGCCUUUCUCUGAUCUAGAUGGGUCUUAAUAUUCCUGUUUAUGAACCGGUAGUUACUUCGCUAUUGUUUGAGAGGAAAGUAAUCUCUUUCUGUGUCUUUUUAAUUUUUUUUUUCUAGGUGGGAUUUCUUGGAUUCUAAACUAUCUUCAUCUUCCGAUGUUAGAGUUACAAAAUCUGGAUUCAGUAUUGAUAAAUUAAACCAUGGUAGUCAUGGAAGCAGCACAACCUCUAGGUCUUUUAAAAAAGGAAUGAGAAAGGGAUCUGAAGGACUGAAGUUAAUUGGUCGAUCACUUGGGCUGGGGGUAUCUAAGGCAGUGUUUCCAGAAGAUCUUAAAGUGUCUGAAAAGAAGAUAUUUGAUCCCCAAGACAAAUUUUUACUCUUAUGGAAUAAAUUAUUUGUUAUCUCAUGCAUUUUUUCCGUGUUUGUGGAUCCACUGUUUUUUUAUCUCCCUGUCAUCAAUGAUCAAUUACACUGUCUGGGUAUAGACCGAAAGUUGGCGAUAAUAGUCACCACCUUGAGGACAGUCAUUGAUGCUUUCUAUUUGCUAAACAUGGCUCUCCAAUUUCGUACUGCUUACAUUGCUCCAUCAUCUCGUGUCUUUGGGCGGGGAGAGCUUGUGAUAGAUUCGGCACAGAUAGCCAAGCGAUACUUGCGACGAUAUUUCAUCGUUGAUUUCCUAUCUGUGUUGCCAGUACCACAGGUUCAAAAGACUUCUGUAUCUUGAAUCAAUCUCCUUUUGUAAAUACUGUAUGAUUAUUUUUCUUUGGAUUUUAUGAUCUAUCUGUACCAACAAUGUUCUCUGUUAUCUUUCAAUUUUGAUUUCCAUAACAUAAUAUUUUCGCUGCAAUCCUCUUGCUUCUUUUGUGUUUGAAUCAAGGGUUUAUUUGUGGGAUUCAUUUUGAUACUCGUAGGAAGAUUUUUUUUUGGGGGGGGGGGGUUGGUUGGUAGGAGGGGGUUAAGUAAGAGACGUCACCCGAGAGAAGAAAGAAUAAGUGCAAUAAAAUUGGAGGAGAAUAUAAUAUCAUGCUUCGCAAUGCCACAGACAAAUAGGCAAACACUGUCACCAAUACACCAAUCUUGUUGCAUAUCUGUUUUCUUUGAUUUGAAACUAUUGAACUUGGGGAUUUUCUUAUAAUUUUUUCUAAUAAGGAUUUUGUUUGUGCUUUUAGAAUUGCUUCUUCUCUUAUUUUUUUCGUUUUAAGUCUCCUAUUUUUAGCUCAAUAAAUUUUGUUAGCUGGACUGUGUGCUACAAUAAUUAAGUAUACAUUGAUGCUUUUUGGGUGGAUAGUAUAUUAUGAACCCUUAUUUCGGGAGAGACGAGGAGUGUUCAAUUGUUAAUGCUAUAUAGACUUUUGAGAAUGUACAAAUUAUUUAUAUGCUUUGUAUUCUGUUAAUAUUUUCUACUGCUUAGCCGACAUUCACUAACAUGUUCAAAAAUACUUCUUUCUGACUGCUCAAUUAAUAAAAUCGCAGCAGUUAUCGUAUAUGUCUGACACAUGUCCUUAUUGCUACUGCAAUUUUAAGGAGUGUAAGAAAACUAAACUCUUGCUUAUGUUUUCUAUUUAUAUUCUUGUAAUCAGAUUGUUGUUUGGAGAUUUCUUCAGAGGUCAAAAAGUUCUGAUGUACUAGCAACAAAGCAGGCCUUGCUGUUCAUUAUCUUGCUUCAGUAUAUUCCUAGAUUUCUUCGAAUGGUGCCAUUAACUUCAGAACUUAAGAGAACAGCCGGUGUCUUUGCCGAAACUGCAUGGGCAGGUGCUGUAUAUUAUUUGCUGUUGUACAUGCUUGCCAGUCAUGUAAGUGUUUUUUUUCUUCUGUUUUUCAUUUGUCUUUGCUGCCUUGUUCUAUUUGAGUUGUAUACAAUCUCACCAGUUAAGCUAUUAUUCUUUCUUUCUAGCUCUAUGUUGCGUCAACUCUGCCACUAAUGUAUUUUAGGUCUUUUUCCAUUACUGAUUAUUUGCAGAUAGUUGGUGCUUUUUGGUACUUGUUAGCUAUUGAACGCAAUGACUCGUGCUGGCAGAAUGCUUGCAGCGACAAUGGGUGCAACAAAAACUACUUGUACUGUGAGAACCAGCACACGGAAGGUUAUAGUGCCUGGCAAAACAAAAGCAAAGCUAUUUUUAAGUCAAAGUGCUCUGUAGAUGAUGAUCCUCCACCUUUUGAUUAUGGAAUUUUUAAGCAAGCCUUGUCAUCUGGUAUCAUUUCAUCUAAGAAGUUUAUCACAAAAUAUCUUUACUGUUUAUGGUGGGGGCUCCAGAAUUUAAGGUAAUUAUUUUGUUUCUUGUCGACAAUUUGUCCAGAUAAUAGUGUAUUGGACUUCCCUUUUGCUUUUGGCGCAUAAUUACCCCACUCAUUACUUUGCUCUGUAAAACGAACCCUAAUGUUAACUUCUGAAGUUAGGUUUUUAGACUUAUCCUUGAAUUGAGUUAAGGUCAUUGAUUUUAUGGAGUUUCUAUGUCUAAAAUAAUGGUCUUCUUUUGAGUCUAAAAACUCAAUAUUCAAAGUUAACACUGCAUGUUAAUAUUUUAUAGACCAUAUCAAUGGUAGGGUUAUCUCAGAACUUUUUUUUUUUUUUUUCUUGACAAAAUCUCUGAACUUCUUAUAAAGGUGAUAAGUUAUAGAGCCUGCAUUUUUUGGCUUGUUUCACGUUUUGAUCUAAAUAUCAAUUUAUUUGUUUAUUUUUUUUAUUUAAAUUUAGUAUGUAAGUUUCUUUUUUUAUAGUAACAUAUUCAUAUCCAGAUCCCUCAUGUGACAUCCCCCCUCCCGUGAUUUCAUUGAUUAUUUGUAUGGCACAACCUAUUUUCAUUUACUUCACUGCAGUACCCUUGGUCAGGGGCUUCAAACUAGCACAUAUCCUGGGGAGGUUAUCUUUUCAAUAGCACUUGCCAUAGCAGGUCUCAUCCUCUUCGCGCUUCUGAUUGGCAACAUGCAGGUAUACUUCAAACCAUUGAGCUUGACCUAUCUUAAAAGUAAGAAUGGUUGAAGUUUUGUUUUUUAAGAAAUAUAAUAAAAUAGGAGAGGAUCUCUUCUCCAAGGGUUUCCCCUUCACAAUAGAGAAUACCAUGUUCACAGUUGCUAUAUUUAAAUAUGAUUUCUAUCCAUUAUAUUCUCCUAUUUAUACAUGAUAUCUCUAACCAACGUCCCUAUUUAACUCCUCAUUAUCCUAUGUUGUUACUAACUCCUCAUUAUCCUAUGUUGUUACUAACUCCCCUUAUCCCAUAUCCUAACAAACUUCCCUCUUAUCUCAUCCUAACAAUCUCCUCACUAUCUUAUGUCCUAACGCAUACUCAUACUCUCACCUGAUAUAUAAGUGUCUGUGUUGUUGCUGUUAGGAUCAAUUAAUGUGCUUCAUAGUUGAGAACUAUAUGGUUCUAAGAAGUUGGACCAAAUGUUAUUGACAUGAGCACUCAAUGUUAUUAAGCUUGGUCUGAAUGAUGUUUCUCUUUAAAGUAUGAAAUUGCAGAUUGUUUAUAUAUUAUAAAUGUUACUGAGGUUUCUGUAUUUCCGUUAUUGCAGACAUAUCUUCAGUCCCUUACCCUUAGGCUGGAGGAAAUGAGAGUCAAAAGGCGUGAUUCAGAACAAUGGAUGCAUCAUCGCUUGCUCCCAAAAGAGCUUAGAGAGCGUGUGAGACGGUAUGAUCAAUAUAAGUGGUUGGCAACACGUGGUGUAGACGAAGAUAUUUUAGUUCAGAGUCUACCAAAGGAUCUUCGAAGAGAUAUUAAGCGUCAUCUCUGUUUGGCUUUAGUGAGGAGGGUAUGUUGUCACAAACACUUCAAAUUAGUGAAACACCAAAGCACUCUAUCUCUCUUACGUGUGACUAAAAAGGACUUGACUUUUUUCAGAUAAAGAACCAAAUAUUUUACAGUAGAAAAUGAAAUGUUGUCGAUCAGUUCCACUUUGAUGUUGUUGUGCAGUAAAUCACGUCAAGUUAUCAUUUAGUCCUUCUGCAUGAGUAUAAAAGAUAGUGUUUGAGAUUUGUUGUACUUGAUCUCUCUCUCUUAGAUUAAUUACCUGGUCCAUGAACUAUUUCACCAACUCAUAAGAUUUUCUUUUCAAAUUCUUUUAGGUAUUUAAACAUGCAGUGCCUCUAUGUGACUUUUUGGACUUAUCUCUUAGAUUGAUUUCAUUGAUCCUUAUUUCACUGAUUGAUUUUCAAAUUUUUAAAAUUCGAACUUGAUCCCUCUGGUAGAUUAACUUAAUCAAAUUUCUGUUUAAGCAUCUGAAUUUGUUAAUUCAUUUACUUAUUUUCAUGGAUUUGUAGGUUCCACUAUUUGAGAGUAUGGAUGAGAGAUUGCUUGAUGCCAUAUGUGAGAGACUGAAACCAUGUUUAUUUACAGAGAAUACUUAUAUUGUUCGGGAAGGAGAUCCAGUUGAUGAGAUGCUUUUCAUCAUACGUGGGCGUCUUGAGAGUGUUACCACAGAUGGUGGGAGGAGUGGUUUUUUCAACCGCACAUAUCUAAAGGAGGCCGAAUUCUGUGGGGAGGAGCUUUUAACAUGGGCCCUGGACCCCAGAUCUGGUUCUAAUCUUCCAACCUCUACUCGAACUGUGAAGGCGUUAACAGAGGUUGAGACUUUUGCCUUAACCGCCGAUGAGCUGAAAUUUGUUGCCAGUCAGUUUAGACGUCUUCACAGUAGACAGGUUCAACACACUUUUCGUUUUUACUCUCAACAAUGGAGAACCUGGGCUGCUUGUUUUAUUCAAGCAGCAUGGCGUCGAUAUUGUAAAAAGAAAAUUAUGAAGCUUCGUAUGAAGGAAGAAGAAGCGGAUGAGUCUCACGGCAAUGCCAGUGGCAGUUCCUCCAGCCUUGGUGCCGCCUUAUUAGCCUCAAAGUUUGCCGCGCGCACUCUCCGUGGUGUACACCGCAAUCGACUCGCCAAGACUGCCAGAGAGUUGGUGAAAUUACAGAAACCCCCCGAGCCUGACUUUACAGCAGAUGAUGCAGACUAAAAUUUUCAUGUGUAACUGCUCUUGAAAUUCUUGUUUUUCAUUUACUAUUAUGAUUUAUGACUGAUCUUGUGAAAAAGGUCAAAAGCAAUGUAUCCUUUGUAAAUAAUUGUAUUAUAGUAUACAUUAAGCCUAACUGGCUGUCAUAUUAGGUUUGCCACCAGUAUGUAACUUAUUUACCGUUGUCAAUUGUAAUAUUGAAAUUAUGUGUUGGAAGAAUUAAGGUUGAUUUUAUUUGUGGUCAAUAUUUAAUGAGAUUUGAUGAUACGCUUUGCUGUUUUUCCACUGGAGUCCUUUUUAAAGUUUUUAGCAUAAUUCAGGAUAGUUGUAACUUGGCAGUCAGUGGAUAUUCACAAAGCUUCAAACAUGUUUUGCACUUCAAUGUUAGUUGACAAUACCUGUCCAAGACGAACGUGAUCGUAAGCUAAAUUCAAUUUUUUUUGUACUAGCUCAUAUAUGUUGUAAUAUAUGAAGCUGCAAUGUUCUUGUUCUAUUGCUUCCAUCCUCUUCCUUGUUCGCAGUAGUUUACUCUUACUGGAGUAUAUUGUUUAGCAACAAUAAAACAUAAUGAAUUUGAUUGUCAUUGGCUUUUUUUAACAAAUAUAAACAAAAAUAUACAAUUUUUUUGUUGAAGGGAAAAUUGUACUUGUAUAUAAUUCACGAGUGAUGCUAUAUCUUAUGAAGGAGUAGUAACUUCCAUCUUUGAUGGGAAACAGGGUGUUAAUCGUGCAUUUGGUUUCGUAAUAUUCAGUAUAACCUAUAACAUUUGAUCAUAUUUAAAAGUGGAGGGACUAUAUAAUAGAUAAUCAUUUUUCUAUUUUUUAUGAAAUAGUUAACCAUAUUUAUAAAUGGGUACGAGGAAGCAUGUAAAUUUUAAAUUUAUGAGAGUCACGGAAUUGCUUUGGUAAUUGAAAGGAUAAAUUUUUAUUAUGAUAGUUUUCUUUUUCUUCUUUAUGUUCGAGAGUAUAGGAUGAUGCAAUUAGAAUAAGAAAUUGAAAAUCAAUCGGUGAAUGGUGUGAUUUGUGGUGAUGGCGCCCUGCAACACCCCUCUUCAACCAUCCAGGGUUCAAACAUCCUCUCCUCUUUUUUCCCGGAUCCCUACUUCGUUGCAUGGUGAAUGGUGUGAUUUGUGGUGAGUGUGAAGGUGAAGGUGAAUUGAUUUCAGUGAAAUUUGAGUGGUGAAAACUGAAAUUGUUGUUGAUGGUGAUGACUGAUGAGAUCUGGGGUGCAGAAACGGGUGUGCUAUUUUCGGAAUUUGAAGAGAGAAGUACAAUGGUGUUUUAAAAAAUUCUUACUAAUUUUAAAAUCACGACCCUAUAUGCUUUUUUUCAAUGUGUCGUGCAUCCAUUAGCGUAAAUGGAUGACAUCCUAAAUGGAGCAGAUCUAAACUCCCACAUCACAAUCUUCUAGAAUACUGUCAGUGUGUCUCAGGUAGGAAUGCCCCCUUUGAACUCCAACCAUCAUUUCAACCCUUGAGUUAUUAUAAGAUCAAACCCUUACACUGAGUUGAUACCAUAUGGAACAUCAUACUAUAGUGUUAAAAUUUAAUGUAAUAUAAUUUACUUAAUGGAACUGUUUUAUAUGUUUUGCUAAAAAGCAUACUAAAAUUUAGAUGUACUAAUUAUAACACGGCAUGCAUGAAAAGUUUACACUAAAUACCAUUGAUAUAUAAACUCAUUUCUGUUAAUAAUAAAAUAAGUCACAAAAUUAAUUUGAGAAAGAAACACUCUCAAAUUUAAGUCUGUUUCAAUACAUAAUCCUCAAACAUAGAGGCAGUUUUCAACUCAAAAGUUGUGUUCAUAAUGAUGUGUCUACAUUUUCCAGAAGUAUACUUGAACACUUAAUAUGGCAGCAAACCCAUAUAUAACUAAAGAAAGAACUCGUGAUUGAUACAACUACGGGUAAAAAAAAAAGAAUCACCAAAGAACUCAGAUAUAGCAAAACAUGGAAAUUUAGUUGUCCUCUUGUACCGGUGAUUCUAGCAUCCGUACCGUGCGAGGGAGCAUAAACUCGGAAAAUAUAGGAAAAUGAGAUGAAGGAUAGCAUCCAUCAAUAUUAUCAUUCACCACUUCACAUGAAACAGGAAUAAGAGAUCUACCUCUGAAAAGGAUCCAAUCAACGUGAAGAUCUUGUGUUUGCCGAUCCCAGCAGAGGCAGAGCGCUCUAAAAAUUAACUUGAGGUAUUCAACGGUUCCUUGUUUGUCACCUGACAACACCAGAUAAUAGCACAAUCACGUCAUACUCAUUUGAUAAAACAUAAAAAACAGCAUAAAAGCGUCGAAACAAACAGUACCCUUGAAUCCGUGAUAAGUGCGGAUUAGAGAAACAUUUUUCCUUACACGCGCACUAGGCCAUGCAUCCCUCAUAUCCCCAACUACACCAUGCUCUCUGCACUCAAACAGAGUAAACACACAAGUUAAAAACCACUUUUUUCUAGUAUGUUUCAUAGAAUCCCACUUAAAUGAAUAACAAUGGUAUGUGUACUAAGCAUGGUUGUCGAAUCUAGAUUCGAAUCAUGAAUUAGAAGAUUUUUUUUCUUCUGAAUCGCUAAUCAAAUCUUAUUAUGAAUCAUAAGAUAUAUUGUCCAUAAAAAUGUCAUUUAGAAGUAAAAAACAAGUGAAAUAACACAAUUAUAAACUGAUGGUUCAUAUAUGAAUAUCAAAAUAAAUCAAGAUUUAAGUCAAAUAUCAAAUGACAAAAGAAAAGUGGUUGGUUUUACUAAGUUGUCAAAAUAGUAGUUGGCUAUACUAAGUUUAGGUAGUGUUUAUUAGAAUGAAUCAGGAUUCAUCAUAGUGAAUCAGGAUUUAUCACAAAAUCGUGAUUCAAGAUGAGAUUUACGUUAUUUAAAAAAAUAAAAAAUGAGAUUUAUGUCUAGAUAGAUACACACUAGAGAUUCUUAUCAAUUGGAUUCAGUUCAGUAUUGAAUCGAUAUUCGACUCUCAUGUAUCGUAAGAUACUGGUAAUCAUGACACUGCAGGAAAUAUGAACUUGGACUCCUCCUGACACUAACAUAUAUAAACUGGAAAUAUAUCUAUCAAGAAACUACCUUGAUCUUCCAAGAAGGAAACGUCCAGUAGUUGAUUCUUUUUGUGUAUUGAAUACUCCACAGUACACAACUGGUAGGCUAGGGGGUAAGGAUGCAAUGUGCUGCCAUGUGAGUAACGCACUUCGUCUACGGGCACGAGCACUGAGCUCAUCCAUGUUUGUAUUUACUAUCUGAAAUGAGAAUCCUGGUGGCUCAACUCCUUUUAGUUGAAAUGUGUGGACAUCAUGUCAAAGAACCAAAAGAUUUAAAAGAUUGUGAAACAAAAGUAUAACAAAGUUCGCAAACAAUUCAAGUUAUAUUUUAUUUUCUAAAUCAUAAUAAGGAUAUAGCCCAUGUUGCGAUGCAAGGAACUUCGGAACCCCACGAUAUGCUUCCAGGUACAGACGGAGACUCAGACAACCAAAAUGUUCCACCUUCUAGAAGCUCUACCUUCAUUUUUUUUUUUAAGAAAAAAAACACUCAACAAAUCUGUUCCCAAACCAGUUAAAUAAAAAAUUAUGAGAUAAUGCCAAAAUAACCCCUUAUACCUUUUCCUUGUCAUAGAAGAUAGUGCAAUGCUCAUCAGUUGUAUCUUGUGGCCCUUUUCGUGAUACGCCAAACUGAUCAUAGCCUGAGUAAUUUUUUUAUUAUCAACUUAAAUUAAUCUGUUUUGAAGUAGAGUAUUAUUACGCAGAAAUAAUACUAUAUCUUUCCUUGGACUCCGAACAUAUUUGAUUUCCAUGAAGAAUAAUUGUAUAUAAGUGGUUUGGAAUCCACCCUUGAACAUUAUUAAUUCAUGACCAUUAGCAAAUGUAGCAACUAGCAAUACAAUUUAAGCUAUAACAUUUCAAUACAAGCAUUAAAGAAAGUCACUAGAGACAGAUGGAAUGGUGUGGUCUUGUUUGUUUUUUCGUGUUUUCUUGGUGUGCUUGGAUUUCUUGUGUUGGCUUUUGUGUUGUCGUUUGCUUUAGUUUUCAAUGUGUUGGGUGUGUUUUGAGCAUCUCUUGUGCGGUUGUGCCCCUCCUGCUGGUGUUUUGGCAGGACCCUUUGUACAUUUUGGUUUCCCCUAUUUAUUUAUAUUUGCCUUUCAAAAAAACAAAAAACUAGAGAUAGAUGGAGUUAUUUCCUUAAACGACGAUCAUCAAGCUAUUUCAAUUAUUUUAAUCGUUUUGACAGUUUACAUCAAGAGAAGUAUGGAUGAAGUCUAUCAUUUUUGAAUGAACCACACACCUAUUUUAGCAUAACCAAACCAUCGGUGAUGUAGGCACUAGGCAUCACAUGGAAUGAGAACAUCUACAAAGUAAGCAUGAAUUUAUGUAAAAAUUGGGCCAGUAACACAUUAGGUUUGUUUCCUAUGUUUUCACGGUACUGACUCACGUUCAAUCUUAAAAGCUCACUACUAGCUUCUAUCUCGCCGCCUUCAAAACCCAAUUCCAAACAUGCUCUAGACAAAAGCAGUGUACAACCACAUUUCUCUUCAUAACCAGUACUAUACAAUGUAAUAAUAAUCAUUUUGACAAAGGACAAAAAUAUGAUCCAUUAUGACAAUGAGAAAUGAAAUGAAAAAUAUGGUUGUAAUGUAAACAAACAAUGCAGGCAAAAUCAAAUUUGAGAAUUAUAAAUGAAUCCUAUUAGAAGGUGAAGAGCAAAACAGUUUUAUAAAAACAAUUCUUACCUGGCAAACCUUGCUGGAGAAAAUCCAAUUGUGUCUUCACUCCUGAAUCCAACAAAUUAAAACAAACAAGGGGUUAAAUAAACUGAACCAGAACAUCAACAUAUCGAAUGAGAGACAAACAAAUCAAGAAUUCAAUAGGAUGCAAAAAAAAAAAAAAAAUCAAAUUCAAAAUCAAAUCAAAAGAUCAAUAAAGCAAGCAUUUUUAGCAAUUGAAUAUUGAAAGGUACAUGAAGAAGGGAUCCAGAACUAUACAUUGAAAACGAAAUCAGAAAAAAAGAAACAAUUUUGAACAAACCCAGAUGAAAAUAAAAAGAUGGGGCAUGGAAAGAGUGAGAAGCUACCUACCUUGUUGAGUACAAAGGAUGAUGGGGGAGUAACUGGUAAUAACACUUAUGCAUAUGUCUCUUCUUUUGUCCCAUGAAUUAGGACUAUCUUGUGGUUCAUCAUCAUGAAGAUUCAAGGUCAUAACAGUCAAAGAUACACUCAUUUUUCUUCCUUUCUCUCUAGUUCAUAGGUAAUUGAAUGAAUGAAAUGAAUGUUGAACAGUGUGUUAUGAUGUUAUUAUUAUAUUUUUGUUUUGUUUUGUUUUGUUUGUGAUUAUUCAUUCAUGGAGGCUGGCUCUCUUCGUUCCCUUCCCAUUUGAUGAAAAUGUCUGACAGCAAUGAAAAAAAGGACUUUAUAUUUUUAUAUGUUAUUCUCUUGAUUGGUGUGUGUGUGAAAGAGUAGUUAGUAGUAAAAUGUGAAAUGUAAAGUGAAAGUUUUAACGAAGUCAUAGGUAUAAUAAGUAUAAGAAGUAGUACAAGACAGACAAGAUCCCUUUUUUCUUGCCACCUACCAUUCAAAUAUUCCUUUUACUAGGUACCGGAUUUUGGGCUCUUGUCCCUAAUUUGACUACUUAGUACACUUUAAUUUGACUAUAACUCCUAAUUAGACUUUUUUGUUUUUGUUUUGAGGGAUUUUAUACACUUAAAUUAUAAUAAUAGGCCUUUUUUUUUAGAAAAAUACUAACAUGUUAUGGACACAUAAAUUAAACAAUCAAGUUGCUUAGGCUCUAGUGGCAAAGAGCUCCUUCCAAUGACGUAUUUAGAGAAUACCAGAUUCGAUUCCCAGAGGGAACAACGCUUUACCAGUGUACAUGCCUCACACAUGAUCCUAAUUUGUCGUCCACCUUUGAUGAGUCGGAAAUCAGUGCAAAAACCAACGUAAAAAUAUAAUCUUAAAAAUUAUGUAUUCUAAUAUUAUUAUUUUUGACAGAGUGUAUUUAAUAUCACGAAGGUUUAAAAAUUCAUCUUUUCAAUAUAGAACUUCUAUCUAAUUCCUUUUUAAACUCAUUAACUUGUCAUGUUAGCAUGACCCUCUUUGAAUAAUCGAUGAAACAACUCCUUUAAGAUGGAAACAACCAUUGAUAAUAAAAACUACCUCAUCCUUGUCAAAACCAUUUAUAACACAUUUUCUUCCUACUCCCUUAACCUAACCACUGCUAGAGGUAGUUGAUCGUCCAAUAUUUGGAAGGCUACUUUGAGUAGUUGGGACAAAGUUAAGCCUCACAUCAGAUGGGUUCUUAAUGAUGGUCAGGACACUCCUCGAGAGACUCAACUCCCAAUCUCAAAUCUCUGUCCUAAAUAAUGAUUGGAAUUGGAAUAUGAUCUCCAAUAAAAUUCUUGAAUUCAUUUUCCAAUAAGUAACUAAUCUAAAACCUCGAUGAACAUGCGCCAAGUGGGAAUGAUAUCCAGAAUCGGGAUUUAUCUUCUGUUGGUCAAUUUAAUGAAAAAAUUGCUUAUCAUUUGUAGUGUGAGUUUAGAUAAUACCAAUUCUCAUCCUUUGUUUAUACAGGUCUGGAAUUGGAAGAGUUCAACUUGUUUAUGUGUUGUUCUUUGGAAGAUUGAUCAUGGUUCUCUUCUUACAAAUGUUGUUCGUGCUCAUAGGAACAUGACUAGUGAUGAUGCUCACGUACUCGAGACUACUGGAAUCAGUACGUCAAGGAAGACAACUAUGCUUGGUUGGAGUGGAAUCUUAAUACUAAGAAUGUUAGUUUCAACUUUCAACCCUUAUAAUUGGUCCACGUUCUUCGGAGUGUCCCUUUGGGCAAUUUAGAAGGAUCAAAAUUCUUCGGUUAUUUUUUUUUUUGGGAAACUGAUCUCGACAUUCAGCUCACAUCAAAGGUUAGUAGUGUAGUUCAUCAAAUUGGAAAGGAGUUUGCUUAUCCUCUUGCUUCUCGAUAUGAUAGUCCAUUUAAGCAACACACUCACUAAGAAAAAGGGUAAUGCUAUUUCUGAUAGUGGCAAAAAAAAAAAAAAAAUCUUAAUCAAGAUUCAAAAUAGGCCUUAUUUAUUUUAGUGGUCAUAUUACUCUUUACCUACGAGGAACUUUAACUUUUGAUCCCUUUUGCUUAUACUUGGAUUGGAGUGGGUGCCUUAAAGCAAGAUGAUUUUACAUCAGCCAUCAGUAGUUCAAAAGGAUAGAUUGCAGCACACCUUAGGAAGCACACUGGUCCCUCCAAAAGAAAAAGAAAGCAAGCUGUGCCUUUUUUUUUCCGUAAGAAACUAUGCUACUAAAUAACGACAACGAAAAAUACAAAUGGACCGCUACCUUUGCAAAAGAAGACACUGUGUUUGUUUGUUUUUGACGAGAAGAAGAAAGCACUACUAGAGAGCUACGUAGGAUGAUAGAAGUAUAUUAAGAAAACAAAUAUAUGCUUAACUGAAUUAUUAGCAAACCGUGAAAAUACAAAGUAUUCUUUUUUGUAUUGAAUACAUCGGAAUAUACCUCAGCUUACCACCUUUUCCAUCCACCAUCAAAUUACUUAUUCAUAUAGAGCAAAGCAACCCCAAAUAACCAGAAAAACCAUAACCUGAUUUUUAUCUUAUCUUAUACUUCACUUGAUGCCAAUAAUAGUUGAAGAUUUCAGUUUGCAGUUAAGAAGAAUUUUUCAAAACCCAUUCCACUAGAGUAGAAACGCCAAAUCCUGUUGCUGAGCGCUUCUUGUCAUUCCACACAGGACCAGCCAUGUCAAUAUGCAACCAUUGAACCUUUUCAUCAACAAACUACAAAGCAAAAUUGUUUCAAAAAUCAGACAGUAAACAAAUAGAAGCAAAUAGUUUCCAUAUUUAAGAAACUAGUAUAUUUUCCUCCAAUAAGUUUCUUAAAAUAAAAUAUUACUAUAUGAAAUUUUUACUCUAGAUUAGGACAGUUAGAGUUCCAUUGCCAUUGCCACACAAUGACUUGGAUAAAUAAGGAGCGUGAAAAUCGCAGAAUAUCUUUCAGAUGUUAUUACCACUCCACGGUACCCCAACACAGCUGUCCAAUUACUUUGAGAAGAAAAAUUCAAACAAUAACAUGAUUUGUAUCAUUAUUAAGCACAUACCUGUUUCAGGAAAAGAGCAGCAGUAAUAGAACCACCUGGUCUACCACCAGUGUUUACCAUAUCAGCCACUCCUGAUUUCAUUGAUUCCCAGUAGCUUUCCUCUAUUGGCAGCCGCCAUAGUUUCUCCCCACUCACUUCAGAAGCUUCCAAAACUUCUUUUACUAGUUCAUCAUUGGGUGAAAACACACCUUCAAAAUAAUAGUUUGCAGUUAUAAUCAGACAAUGUUUGAUAGUCUCUCCCGAGUUUAGCUUUACUAUUUCCCCAAAAUGAUAUAUGAAUUUAAGGAGCUUAUAGUUCCAACCAAAAUAUUGAGACUUUUUUUUUCUUAAUUCUUGCAAGAAAUUUUAGAACAUGAUAAUAAAAAAGAGGUCAAACACGUACACAACAUUAAUAAUUUUUAGUUUAUCUUUACCUGCAAUGGAGGGCCCAAGAGCAACUACACAUGCCCCAGUUAAGGUUGCCAAAUCAAUAAUCUGAAAAAAAGAUUAUCUACCAGUUAGCAGUAUUCUAAAACUAAAUCAUACAUCUAAAAAAAUAAGUUUUAAGCUUGUCUAAAUUGAUGCCAGAAAACAAACAACAGAUGAGAAGUUUGUAAAUAUAAAAAAAGGCCAAAGUCAGCACUUGUUUCGUAAAUAUUAAAAUAUCUAUGGACCAGUUUACUUUUGUUUCGGUGUACCAAGAUUUGCAUAACAUGUGCUGACUUUGGCCUUUUUUUAUAUUUAUAAACUGGUCCAUAGAUAUUUUAAAGAAUGAGAAUGAUGUUCAAGACAAAUGCUAGUAACACUCUUUAUGAUUAGUUGGCUUCUAGAUUGAUUACUUUCUAAAAAGAGUGUACUCAAGAGAAUGUAAAAAAUGAGUGUCCUCAUGUCCUACUAGUAAUCCUCUUUCAUCACAUAAUUGAAAAUCUCACCAAAUCUAUCAAAAUAUUAAAUAUUAAGCAAAUGAUUUGGGAAGGCAACCGAAAUCUGUUUAUGAUUUAUAGAGAUAGUACAGAGAUAGAAAGAUGCAAAUAACUUGCAGUAUACCUUUUCAACACCUUGGUUACAAGCAUAUACCAGAGCAUCUGCCAGUGUGAGUCUUCCCUCAGCAUCAGUGUUGUUCACCUAAACAAAAAGUUAAACCAAUGUCAAAUUCCUAGUACAUCAUAUAAAAUGUUGAUACUUGACAAAAUCAAGGUCAAUACUACAUAUGUUUACAUAGUUCAUAGAGGCCAAAACUUCAAUUCACUGAUCUUCAAUUGCAAUGUAAUUGUAUUAUAUAUAUAUAUUGAUUAACCAAGUACAACUACAAUAGAUUUGCAUUUUCAGUACUGAUACACACAAAAUGACAAUCAAGAGUUACAUCCCAAGCAUCAUAAAUGAUUAUUGAGAAACUUUUUUAAAAUGGAAAUAACUGAUGCAUUUCAUUUUCAUUCAAUUAUCCAAAUAAAAUAUUUGAAUAAGAACAAAUUACAUGCUGUCCACUGGACCUAAUGACAUAUAUACAUAUUCAACAAAUCAGAAAGAUGGCAAAAACAAAAAUAUCAUCAAAUACUAUGCAUCAAUACCAAGUACAAUAGGUUAAAUUUAUUGGACAAUUAAAAAUCAAAGACCUAGUAAACCCUCACCUCAAUAGUUUUUCCAUUUGAAGCUGUGACAACAUCUCCAGGCCUCAUACCUGUUCCACUGAUCAUAUUCUCACAAGCUGCAACUAUAAAAUGAACCUGCAUAUACAAGAUUUUUAUUACACGACAAAACACGACAAUAACCACUAUGUAUUCCAAACAAAUCAUUCCACGGAAAAGCAGCCCCCAGAAAUGUAAAAUGAAAAUCCAUACUCAACAACUCUUAUUAUGAAAAAAAAAAUCAAAUGAGAUUAGGAAAUUUCUGUGACUUUUUAUUUAUAUAAACCCGUCAUUUCGGAGAUCCCAUACUACAUCACCCAAUAAUCCCUAAGCAAAUCUUGACAUGAAAUUGAAAAAAUGAAGGACCAAUGAUUUAAGUGACUAACCUCCACCCCAAGAGGUUUGAUUUGACCAAGUGCUUUUGCAGCGCCUAAAACUGCGGCUGAACCACCCAUAUCAAAUUUCAUGAGUUCAAUUGAACAGCCAGGUCCAGUCUUAAUGUUGUAGCCACCACUGAUAAAAAGCAGAAAACGUAAUAAAAAAGCAGUAAGGAAAAAAAACUAAAACUUCCUACAUCAAACAAAAAAAUAAAUAUGAAAUGGGAGAGAAACCCAUGGACUCCUUAAUUUUGAGAUGAAACAACAUAUAUUUUACACCAAUACUAAGUAUGCCAUUGUAGCAAAUUGGUAAUGCAUGAAAAAAGAAUACAUAAUCAUGCCUAUGUUAGCCUUGUCAUGCAUAGCCGGUCCCAAGGCUGGGUAAAAAGAGAGGGUUGUGUUAGGCCUCGACAGCCAACGUAACACUUUGUCGAAUCCUAUGACACGGACCAAUAAUUUGAUCCAUGUAGCCGGACCCAUUUAGUGGGAUAAGACUUGGUUGUUGUUGUAUUUAGAAAGAAUAUAUUGAAAAAAUCUACUUAGGACCUCAUAUUAAAGAUUUAUCAACAAAGCAAAAACAUCAAACUUCAUAACCGCUGAAUGCUUUGGUACCAUAAUCAAAACCAUGGAUAAUACAGGGUGAAAUCCCAUUUCAAAUUUUUCAAUGUCUUAUGAAUUGUAGAUAGAAAACACGGUUUGGUGAAUUACCUAUCAAAAGUCAAACCUUUUCCAACCAAAGCCAGCUUGACCUUGACAGAUCCACUUGGAGGUUUGUAAGUAAGAUGGAUAAAACGAGGAGGAUUUGCCGAGGCUGCAGCAACACCUAGAUAGGACCCCAUUUUCAAUUCCUUGCACUGAUCAGCAUCUAAUAUUUUAGCGGUGAAAACAUCACUGUAGGUGGAAGCAACCUUAGAUGCCUCUUCUGCCAACACCCCUGAGACCAAAACAUCACCAAGUACAGAUCAGAUUUUAGAGAAGCACACAUACAUGCAUAUAUACAUACAUACAUAGAUAUAGCUAUAGCUAUAUAAUACGAUAUAAAGUGUCGUACGAACCUGGUGUGAGAACAUUGGCAGGAGAGUUUACAAGCUCCCUUCCAAAAAUUAUUCCAGAAGAAACAUCUCCAGCAUACUUGAGCUUUUUUUCCAAAUCAGGCCCCGUUCCAAGACCAAUAAUGUCAAUGGAUCUAACUGCUGGUUUCUUUGAUUCUGACUUGUAUCUUUGAUCUUCAAAUAAUCCCAGCACAGCCCCUACCACAAUUCAAGCCAACACAUCAAAUGCAGCUAUAAAAAUCACAAGCUCACAUUCACACACGCGCGCGCACAUAUACACACAACACGAGUAAGGAUCCUCGCCAUUUCUAAAGUUUGUGAUGACAAAAGUCAAUGUUUCUAAAAAUGGUGACAUGUAUUUUUAUUUUUUGUAUAAUUAAACUUUAUACACUCAAAACAUUAGUAAAUAGUAAUGGAGAGAUCCCUAUUUUAACACAUCAAUUACUUAAAAAUCAUAAAAUCAAUACAUCAAACAGAUAUAAAUCAUAAAAUCAAAUACCAGAUGCAAUUGCAUAAGCAGUACUAAGCUUUGAUUCCGAAGAAAGUCCUUCAGAAGAGGCAAGAACAAUAGCAACAUUGCUUGCCUGAGCAGACUUAGCAACCGCGACAACAGCCUCACCAAGACCCUUAUACAGUGCAGUAGUUGAAGGUAACUGACCAAGACCGAUCAAACCAACCCUCUUUGAUCCAAGUCCUUUAAUCCUAACAACCGUUGAUUGACCAACUUUACCAGAGAAAUCCUCUUCAGAAGAAGCUUCAGAUAACAAACCAUCCAACUUCAAAUCAAUCUUGUUCAAAAUCGAAUUCUCGAAUCUCGAUUUAGCAUCUCUUGUUAAAUCUUUCUCAGUAACACCCACUGCUAGUAUAUCUCCUUUCCAUUCAGUCACAUCAACAUCCGUAGCAGAAAAAGAGAUCUUUCAGGAAUUUUCACAAACACAUAAAAGGCACUAUCAGUAAACACAUAAAAUAAAAAACCCACAACGAUAAAAUUAACAAAUUAACGACUUUAUACAUCAUUAAAGUGGAUAAAUCAAAAAUAGAAACAAGGGCAUCAAAAUUGAAGAAGAAAACUAACCUUAGGGGCUUCGAUGUUGGUGGGGUGAGUGAGGCCGAGAGUGGUGUAACGUGACUGAGACAUAAGCUUCGUCGUUGAAUGAAAGCUUCGUUUAGGAAAUGAAGCAAAACGAAUACGCGAAGUGAGAAAGAGAGAAGAAGACGAAGAUUUUGAGAAAGCAAUAACAAUGGCAGAAGCUAUGGCCGCCAUUUGGGUGUGGGAGAGUCUAUCUUAUUUAUAAUGAACCAUCACAUCUUAUUCAUCCAAAAAUAGCUAUUAAAAUUAAAAUCAGAGAUUAAUUUCUCAUUAUUAUCCCUUUCUCAAGUCAAGUGUAAACAGCACUACCUGUCCGUUUUUCUCGAUUGAUAAUGAAAGUUACAUGUGAAAAAUGAUCUCAUCAUAUGUAGAUUGAACUGAUUGUAACUAAUUAAAAGUAGUUUCAAUUGAUAGUUUGAUACAAGGCUCAGGCUAGCAUGGGAGACCAAAUCAGGUCUCUCACGGUGGGAGGGGAGAAAAAACCUGCAAUUGCAAGUCACCAUUAGUUUUAAUAGUUUUAUAUUAUUUUUGUUAUUUAUACUUUUGACCCACCUAAGUUAAUUAUAAAUAUUUCACUCGAGUUUUUUUAUUUACGAAAUUGGCAUGUCCCCCUUUUUUUUAUUAUUAUUUAAAAAACCAAAUAAGUUACUACCUUUAAUUAUUAUUUUCUUUCUUCUUUAUUCUCUCCUUGUUCUGAUUUCCCUGCAUCUCUUUCGAGCACCAUCAUCAAAACAAUAGUGCUCAUGGCACUGGUAAAAACUAUUUUUUAUGAUAUUCAUCCUUGUUACUACAUGACCAGCAUCACCAUCCACAAGUUACUACCACCACCAUCA